GGUACAUCGGUGACAGGUGGUGCAUGGUUGUCGUCAGCUCGUGUCGUGAGAUGUUGGUUAAGUCCCGCAACGAGCGCAACCCCUAUUGUUAGUUGCCAUCAUUCAGUUUGGGCACUCUAGCGAGACUGCCGGUAAUAAACCGGAGGAAGUGGGAUGACGUCAAAUCAUCAUGCCCCUUAUGACCUGGGCUACACACGUGCUACAAUGGUUGGUACAACGAGUUGCGAGUCGGUGACGGCGAGCUAAUCUCUUAAAGCCAAAUCUCAGUUCGGAUUGUAGGCUGCAACUCGCCUACAUGAAGUCGGAAUCGCUAGUAAUCGCGGAUCAGCACGCCGCGGUGAAUACGUUCCCGGGCCUU
RNAcentral lists this ribosomal RNA (358 nucleotides) under uncultured Streptococcus sp. Its description in RNAcentral is "bacterial SSU rRNA". It matches the Rfam family "Bacterial small subunit ribosomal RNA", at positions 1022 to 1382 of the family's 1533-position model. The record is from RNAcentral. Lineage: Bacteria; Bacillati; Bacillota; Bacilli; Lactobacillales; Streptococcaceae.